GACGAACGCUGGCGGCGUGCCUAAUACAUGCAAGUAGAACGCUGAAGUAGGAGCUUUCUUCUCCGGAUGAGUUGCGAACGGGUGAGUAACGCGUGGGGAACCUGCCUGUUAGCGGGGGAUAACUAUUGGAAACGAUAGCUAAUACCGCAUAAGAUUUGUUGUCGCAUGUCAUUUGCUUAAAAGGUGCAGCUUCGCCGCUACCAGAUGGUCCUUCGUUGUAUUAGCUAGUUGGUGAGGUAACGGCUCAACAAGGCAACGAUACAUAGUCGACCUGAGAAGGGGGUCCGCCACAAUGGGAAUGGGACAAGGCCCAGAAUCCUAAGGGGGGGAACAGGAGGGGAACCUUGGGAAUGGGCGGAAGGCUGAACGGGGAAAGGCGGGGGAGGGAAGAAGGGUCUCGGAUCGGAAAGAUCCGUUGAAAGAGAAGAAAGAAAGGGGGAGUGGAAAGUGCACACUGUGACGGUACCUAACCAGAAAGGGACGGCUAACUACGUG
RNAcentral lists this ribosomal RNA (495 nucleotides) under uncultured bacterium. Its description in RNAcentral is "partial 16S ribosomal RNA". It matches the Rfam family "Bacterial small subunit ribosomal RNA", at positions 28 to 507 of the family's 1533-position model. The record is from RNAcentral.